Long non-coding RNA from Gallus gallus (chicken), 13893 nucleotides. The record is from Ensembl. Lineage: Eukaryota; Metazoa; Chordata; Aves; Galliformes; Phasianidae.
CCGGAGGAGGGCUUUGUCUGCGCCCGGCUCCGCUCCCCCCGCCGCCGCUCCCGCUCCCUCUGCCCGCCCGCUCUCGCUCUCGCUCUCCCUCUCGCUGUGGUUUUUGUAAGGUAGGUUGCAGCGCGUGUGUGUGUACACAACAUCGAGAGCAGGAAAAUGGACUCAUUAGGGAGGCAGGCGGUCGGGAGCGCUCGCGCUGUAGUGCCGGGGAGACGGAGGCUAUGAGGAGGCAAACUGAGGACGGGGGAACAAGCAGCAUAAAGAAGAAGUGUUGAGAGCUGCUCUCAGCCCUUUUGGAGUCCGAAGUCAAAAGGGAACUAGGGGGCUUGACACAUCCCUUGCAUCUUCCAUUUACUCUGACCACAGUCCCUCCCUGUUCUCUCAAGUGGAGCUAAGCCCUGCUUCCCUCCCUCUUGAUUCCCAGACAGCUACAUGAUAUAUAGAGGCAUGUUAUAGAAAUAUGUAUUAAGAAGUCCCUGAGUCCUAGGAGAACAUAUCAAGUUGACUCUGGCUAGAAGCAAACAAAUUACCUUCGUGGUCCUGGUCCUUUGGUUCCACACAAUUAUCAACUAAGCUGAAGGAGAUCUCCCUAUAGCUGUGAGUAGUAAUGAGGCUUUAGCAUUUCUUUUCACAUUGCUGCUAGAGAGUGACCCCUCUCUCUAGAAGGCUCACCUUUUCAUUACAAAGGUGUUACUUCUUUUCUGCAUAUUUAAAGCACCCCUUGUGUUACUGUGCAAUCCCUUCACUGUGGAGUAACAGAAAAUUCAAGCUGACAUAAGUUCCAGCAAGCUUCUUUAACCUUGGAAGUGAAAAGUGGCCAGUGACAGGCAGGAGCUUUGAAAGACAGCGAAAGAAUAGAUUCAUUUUGGAUUGUACUCAGAAUGUUGUGUAAAUGAUGCAAGAAACUCAGAGAGAUGCCACAAACACCCUAUUAGGGAGAUACCAGUGACAGAAUGAGAGCUACUGCCCGAAACUGCUUGAGUUUUGACAGCAUUAUGUGAUGACAUCUGAGAUGUAAGUAGAUGCCAGGCAGCUAUAGUGUCUUUUGAUGAAGUCAUUUAUUGAUUUGACACUGACUUUUUCCCUUGUACCAGUGCAUGUACUCUCCUGUGACACAGAAUUGAGGUGAUCUCGGGAAAUUACAAGAAAAGCAGAAAUUGGGUAGACAAAAUGGAUGCUACUACCAAGGAAACUCUACUCAGUACUCUUAGAAGUAAAGGAUACUGUGAUGUGAGUCAGUCCUCACAACACAGCACUUCAAGGGAAAUGGAUAAAUGGUGGUUGGGCACAACGCACAGCUCUAAGUGCUGUGAGGAGGUGAUACCAUGUGGCAGAUUUACCUGGGAUUUUUGUGCUGGCAGAGAGACAGGGAAGGAAAUCUUUUUAUGAUCAAGCAGUAUAGCUCAAAGCAGCAUUGGUUUUAUGAAUGUGAAUGAUAAACAGUGGUGAAUCGGAGUACAGCUGAAUCCUAAACCAAGUGAUUGUGAUGGGGCAAAUUAUAGAGGAAUUUAUGCAAGGUUCUCUGUUGCUAUAGCUCAAAUGAUUCGUCUGUGCUGUUUUUUCCUCACCCUUUUCCAAGUUUAUUUUGUGUUGUAUAUCAUUCCUGUAAUUGUGUUCUUUGUUGUUUUUCUCCUGACAUGUUAAAUCCCACAACACAGUCUAGUCUUGAUGUUUUCCUUCUCUUUCAAAGAGUCCCAAGAGAGAGAAGCAGGGAAGGUAGAUGUAUUUGACUUUGGAAAAUGAGUUUAUGCCAGUUGCAAAGGAAAUAAAAUAUAUCAUAGGGGUCUGCUAAGGGGAGGGGAAUGAAAAUAUUGCUCGUUUGUGACAAAAGAUUGCCUUGAAGACUGCUUCAGCUUGAUCAGUCUGAAGUCCAUGUCUCACUGUUUCCAUUACAAAGGCUUUAAUGUUCCUGUUUCUUUUGGAAAAGGACUUCAUCUAUUUUGAAAUAAGUCCAAGGCUCCCCAAAUGUACUAUUUGCUUUCAGGCUGAAAACAUGAGACCUGUGCACUGGCGUCUCAUUCUAGAGGGGCUAGAAAAUAUUACGUGGUUUAGGUCAUGGGCCAGGAUAGUCAAGGAGUCAGCAUGUGAGCAUCUCCAUGGCAGCUGAGGAUCAUAGAAUCCACAGCCUUAUGCUGAUACAGUGAGCACUACUUCUGCAAGGACUUUGGGUAUGGAGAUAUUUCAGCACAGAACGGGGCCAUGGCUUCCUCAUGCUCUGGGCAAUGGAUGCAAGCAAUAUGCCUAGCAGACAGGAGAACAAGCUGUCAAGCUAUGCCUGGCACAGGGACCACAGGAUGGGUGAGGAACUGAAGCACUCUGCUGUGCAGGGUGUCUGUACUGUGGUGGGUCACUACAGGGCUGUAAUUAGAUAACGAAAUCUCAGCCAGAAUGAGUGAAAUCUGGUAGAUCUUUGUUUUACAUACCAUUUGUCUGGUUUGCAUGUAGGAGGCAGGACUUCAGGACCUGUAUUAUGAAGGCAGAAUACUAUUCGUAUGAUACCUUCUUGGUAUCAAGCCUGUAAGCCGAUACAGUUCAUUCCUUCAGAGGAUCCCAGUCCGGAUUUGUUCACUGGGGGUGAUCAUUACAGAGCCGUAGUACAUUAAUUCAAGUCCUUAGCAAACAGUGGCUCACUAUCCUCUGCAAGCCUCCCACGGCUUCCUAUUGUGAGAACAUAGCUUUCUGCUGUUUUUCCUUUAUCUGCUCCUGAGAUGUCCCUAAUCUCUUCUGAGCAUCAGCCCCCAUUUUUCUGUUCGCAGCAGAGAACUUUUUCGGUGCACACCUGUGGAGCUCAUUCCUAACCUGUCGUUUUCAUAGUAGCAGUUUUACCGGGUGUCAAAAUACAGCUACCAUCCUGAUACAUGCGUACAGAGGAAGAAAAUAAAUGCGCUCUCUGGAAAGAGAUGAUAUGAUCUCUAAAUUAGUGGCAGCCAUCCCUCAUAGUGUGUGGUAUGUUUUAAAGUUCAAGGUCAUUUUUUUUUUUUUUUUUCCCUUUCUUAGUAUGUGCAACUGUUAGCAUCAACUGCUGAUGCAUUUACCUUGGGCUUUUUUCUUUAGAAAUCUUACAGCCUUUUUGGAAAUUUCCACUCCUCCUCCACUCAGCUUUUAAAAGAAAUUUUUGUUUUUAUGAAAAGUGAAAGCAACUUUCAUGUAAGAUGAGCACAAGUGAGUUGCCAGAAGGUAAAUUCUCUGUGCUGUGAGCAGGCUUCUGUUUUACAUGGGAUAGCCACUGUGAAAUGCAACAACUCUGAACAACAGUUCGUGAGUCCAGAAAAAUACAAAUGAAGUGACAGCAGUGUUUACACUGCUAAGUCACUUAUAUGAGAAGAUACCUUAUUUUGAAGUGACUACUGUCCUCCUUUGUUAACUUGAAACCAUCUGGUUUUAAGCAUGUUUGACAGAAGGAUAGGGGCUACACAGAGACUGAAUCCUACCAGUUUUAUGACAAUCAGAAACAGGAAAGAGGCCAAAGUUCCUCCUGCCCUGGAGGAGAGCCUGCAGCAUGCACUCAAGAUACAUGCAAGGGUUGUCCAGCCAGCAGGGUGGACAUCUCUCACAAAGUGGCCUGGCAGCUGGCAGAUGUGCUCCUCAGCAUGUGUUCUGGGUUUCCUGCCACUAGCGAAGGAGGGAGGGAGCUGGAGGUGCUGCAGAUGAUGGCCAAAGGGAAGCACAAAGAACUCUGGAGGGAGCAGUCCUAGCCAAGAUGUUCUGGAGGGGGAGAACACAAAGCAGAAGGGAGCCAAUGUUGCUUGUGGCAUGACUUGUCUAAUUCAGGUACACUCUGAUCUGUCACCAGAUCCAGAGGUAUUUCAACAGUGAAGCAUUGCUUUACAGUUUAAGACUGCAACUAAAGGGGGGAAGACAGAAGUUCUGUUCUUCAGCUAGGAGGUGUGAACUUGAUGAACCGAUUGUAACAUCUGUGUCUCAUAUUCUUUCUCUCUGAGAAAAGGAUAGAAAUACAUGUGUGCUUCAGAGGGGAGCUGAGGUGCUUCAUCCGUUUGGAAAUGAUUUUUCUCCGUUAGGAGACAGAUGCUUUACCUUUUCCAUGAAAAGCUGUAAAUGUUUCAGAAACAAUUAAAGCAGCUUCCUGACAUCCUCUUGGGUGAGGAAAUAUGAUUGCUGUGGGAAAACUGAGGCAAAAAAUCUGUCAUGUGAAUAUUUUAUUUUAAUAGUUAAUGAACAGGGAAAAAGAAAGCAUUACUAUAAAACACAUGAGCAAGAUUGUGGAAAACUUUGGCAGAGAAAGGGACUGAGAUAAAUUCUGUCUUGAUUGACAUCUCCUGAAGGUCAAAGUAUCUACCCACUGUAUGAGGCAGUGUUAAAUUUGCUCAUGGUGUAUAUAUAUAAUCAGAAGACUUUGCCUCUUAGUAUACUUUAUUUCAGAAUGCGUGUACUGCGUAAGGCUGGCUGGUAGAGUAGAAGUAAAUAUUAUGAAAAGUGACUACAUAAAAAGAUAAGCCUUUGGUUUCACAUCAGCAAUAAUAUUAUUAUUUUUUACAUGAAAACCUCAAAUUAUUUUCUGAACAAUACCUAAUGGCCAGACAGUAUGCCACUUCAGGAGAUCUCCAAAGGUCUUGAUCAAAAUAUACCACACCAUUUUAGGGUGUUUGUGAAUAAUAGCAUUUCCUAUUUGGGGAUUUGGAAAUAAAGGCACAGAGAAAUUAAGUAGGUCACACACCAAAUGAGUGGCAAUUGAGGAAGAAAAACCAGAUGUCAUGACCUUUUCCUCUUUCUUUAACUCAGAAGAUCAGUAGUCUUGCAAGCCUGCACAUCUGUUUUCAGUUUAAGCUGAUUCUUGUUCUUGCAGGAUGUGUGAUGCUGCAGACGAUCCAGUUGUUUUGACUCCCUCAUCCCAAGAGCUAAGGCAUCAAAUCAGUUACUCUAGGUUAGUGUCAAUUCUCUGCUAGGACAAGCCUCCUUUUUCAAAGAAGGGCAACAAAGCUGUGAGGGGUCUGGAGCACAGGCCUUAUGAGGAGCAGCUGAAGGAGCUGGGAUUGUUCAAUCUGGAGAAGAAGCUCUGGGGAGACCUUAUUGUUCUCUGUAACUACCUGAAGGGAGGUUGUAGUGAGGUGGAGGUCAGCCUCUUCUCUCGUGUGACUAGUGAUAGGACUAGAGGGAAUGGCUUCAAGCUGAGCCAGGGAAGGUUCAGGCUGGACGUUAGGAAAUACUACUUCUCUGAAAGGGUGGUCAGGCACUGGAAUGGGCUGCCCAGGGAGGUAAUGGAGUCACUGACCCUGGAGGUGUUGAAGGAACGUUUGGAUGUUUUGUUGAGGGACAUGGUUUAGUGAGAGCUAUUGGUGAUGGGUGGAUGGUUGGACUGGGUGAUCCUGUGGGUCUUUUCCAACCUUGGUGAUUCUAUGAUUCUAUGAUCUCUAGUAGAUUACAGACUGAACACAUACCAAGUAGCAUUUUAAACUGUAUUCACAUUGUGGCAGAUUGUAACUAUGUGUAUACUUAAGUACCAGUAUAAAUUGAACAGUUAACUCUAAUACCUGCGGCAGUUGCUUUCCCCCACUAGACCUCUGUACAUUUAUAUCAUUGUAUAAAUGCUUCUGUAUGUCAAGCAUUCUAUGAAAGAAAAAGAGAAACUUCAGCUGGUAGGAGAUUAAAAAUUUAUGGUGAGAAAAGACAGGGCCACCCAUAAGUAUCAGGUAUACACUGACACUAAGUGAUUAUUUUAGAUUUGUUUGCAUGUUUGUUUUUAGCUCAAGCUUCGGAAAUUGACAAUGCCUUUAUUUAAUUCCACUGAACUCAAUGUGAGGUUUACCAUACAUUUAAGCUGAACUAUACCAGUACUGAAUAUUGUGAAAAUCUCACUCCUACACAUACCCACUUUCACUUUUGUGUUCUUGAAUCAGAUUUGGCAAGUAAAUGAACAGAAAUGGGCAUUAUUACAUAUCCCAGGAGAGCUAGUGCUUUCCAGAAUGCUGUCUGUAUUUCAGAAUUGCUGUGCUUUUAAUUGUCUUGCAGCCCAGUUUGUCUUUGAUGGGUUCUCUCUCAAUGGGUUCUCUCUCUGGCCUUGUAAAAUCCAUAAAUUUGUGAAGUAUACCAGACAAGAACCCUUUGCUCUUGCUUAUGCCAUUCCUAACUUGUGACACAAAUGGAAACAAGGCUAAUUCUGUAAGAUUCUCCUGAGAGGAAGAUAUGUGAGGACAACACUGUCUAGCCUUCUGAAGUCUUAGGCUUGUUUCUUGGAUUUAAUUCCUUAACUGUGUCACAAGUUUUGGACUGCUCGAUUCCUCUCCCUGGGCCAUGUACUCCAAUUCUGAAAUCAUCUAGAUUCUCUGUGUUAAAUGUCUAUGGUUUUCUUUGUCACUUAGAGUCUGAAUUGUCCCUUAUUUUGUAGAAGGGGAAUUCACUUCCUAGUGGUGUCAACAGCAGAAAUAUGUGAACUGUCCACUUCUGUUAUGGUCACGAUGAGGUCUAGAUUCACCACUAUAUCAGAAGGAGGCCUAAGAUGGAAAGUAUCUGACUACCAACUGCCCUUUACUCCUAAGAAAUAGGCAUUUGCAUUCUUUGUAUCCCGGAAAGGAGAAUCACCAUUCUGAAUGCCAUGCUUAUUCUCAGCAUGAUGUGUGUGAUGAAGAAGGCACUCAAAGAAAGAAUCAAAGCUAGGAUGACAUCAAAACAAAUGCUUCCAUUUUUAUUCUCCCUUCCAUGGUAGAUUAGUUACAACAGAAUGAAACACCAGAUAACUUGAAAAUAAAAGCCCGUGUGUGUAAGUAGACUAUGGCAGUUUAUUCUAAAAGUAAAUUCUUCUCUCACUUCUCAAACUACAGCUCCAACAACAUAAUCCCCUACUUUGCUUUCUUUGACACACCUUCUCAAAUUCGCUGGCCAGCCCAUAUGGUUGCUUUGAGAUUUUUGCUGUUCUGUGUCACUUGCUUGUCUUUCAGAGCUGUUAUAGAUAAUUGCUGGACCUAGUAUCUACUGAUAUGACAUUGUGCUUGGCAUGUGAUAUGAAGGGAUGUUACUUCAGUGCUCCAAACCCUUCAGUAGACUUUGAGAUAAAAAGUUCAAACAGUGUCCCAGCUGAGCACUCAACACACAUAGUGGUGAUAACCAUAGGAAAUGGGAAGAGGGAGCUUUUCAAGCAGGAGUCUAAGGAGACAACCUCAGUCUGGGUUCUCCUUUAAAUGGACAGUACCCUAUACAUCAAAAAAAGAAGGAAAGGAAAGAAAAGGAAAGGAAGGGGGAGAGAAGAGGAGAAAAGAAGAGAAACAGAAGGGAAGGAAAAGAAGAGAAAAGAAAAGAGAAAAGAAGAGAAAAAAGGAAGUGUGACUAAUCUUUUUUUCCUUCAUUUUAUAUGUUAUUUUAUCUUACAAUGACUUACCCUGUGUGGUGCUGUUCAGCAUGCAAACAUUGCAGAUGAAUACAAUCCCAAGCUCCAACAAACUGUUCCCUCAGCCAGAUAGUGCUGACUUCUGCCUCAGGACACAGUAGAACAGUCACAACACUGAAUUGCAUUCAUCUGGUGAAACUAUUGGGGAAAAUAAGAGUUCUAGAGAGUAAGUAGAUGAGUUCUCAAGUAGCAAUCAAAGUAAAAUGUGUGCAUAAAAGGAAUGUAGGACUCAAUUCCCAAGCAUGUAAUGUGGAAGCCAAUUUGUAAUCAAUGGCUUUCUUUUCACAUGUUCAGUGAGGAAAUACUUGUUUUCCCAGCUUUAUGAUCAUGAAGCAAGGUGGACUGUUGUUUGAAGCAUACUUUGUGCUAGUGACUUUUUCUCUAGUCUUGAGCAAGUUAGUAAUUUUGUGUGGUUUUUGAUAGCUGGAAACAGUGGUACUGAUUUCUGCCAUAAACAGCUUGUAAAAAUGUUGAUAUAUUAGGGGACCAGAACACAGUGAUCUGAGUAAUACAUUUGUCUGGUACAUUAGUAACAUCUCUGUGAGCUCUACUUGUUUUCUUUCCCAAAGAAAAUGUACUUGCAUACAAACAAAACUACACUUUCAACUUUUAUUUCAGUACAUGAACAUGAAGACAGAAGAAAGACAUGCAGUUGCAUGGUUGUGCUAAAUAUGUCCUCCAUUAUUUGUGACAAAAUUAGUUUUUGGACUCUACUGAUUAGAACAAGACACAGAGUUAUUACAGAAAAUAUCAGCCAUAGGAGAGAAACAUUCUCUGAGCUUUAUACCACACUUCCCAUUCUUUUGUCAGCUUACAUUAUAAAUAAAUAACAAAGCAAUUUGACACAUGCCCAUUGAUUAAAAAUAAAAGUUGUCAGAGUGAGAGGAGAAAGACAAAAAUAUGAAUUAUUAAUAACAAUAUUAAGCAAUGCAAAAAAGAUGCUUAACAUGCAGGAAAGUCUCUGAAAAGUCACUUAGUGAAGGGGAAGGAAAGGACAGCUACAGAGACCUUGCCUCCACUACUUUGUGGCCACUUCCUCACUACCUAGUCUAGCAACUUGAUCCUUGAAGGUCAGGGUGGCCAUACAAGAAGGAAGGGUGAUUCUGUUGAUUUCUGUUAUCCUGUUUACUUCACCUCUAUUGUUUCUAGCAUGCACUACCAGCAAGCAUGAAGACAUCAUGUAAGGUAUGGAGUAAAUUUAAAUCAAUCAUGUUCAUGAUUGAAUUGGCCAUUUUGUGUUUCUGAGCAAUCUUCUUGCCGGUGAGAUUUGAACAACAGAUUGAUAAAAUGGACACUUCUGUGGCAGAAGGGAGGCUAAUUUAAACUCUUUCUAAUUUGGUAUAUCACAGGUACCUGGGAUUUAGUAAAGGGAUAUUAAGGUGUGCAAAAAUAUCGUUACUGCUAGUUGUAGUCUGUGUUCUGUGUACAGUGUAUUGCCCCAGUUGAUGUGCCAAACACUAGCUGGAGUAAUUAUGCAUUUCUUUUCCCACCUUCUGUUGCUUAUUUUGGUUGCAGCUAUUUCAAUGUUUUCAUUUACCAGGACAGUUUGAAUGGCUACUGGGUAUACUGACCAUCCUAGCAAUAUUUAAUUUUCUAUCCAUGGAGAUCAGAUUUCUUUUUUUUCCACUGAAGAGGAAAGGAAGAAAAAGUAUACUUGCAAAGAGUAAGAAAGGUAAUGACACAACUUCUCUGAAAACUGUAGAAUCUCACUUAGUGACUGUCCUGCUUGCUGAAAAAUGACUGCUCUGAGCAGAUAAUAAAGCGUGCUAUCACAAUAGAAGAGCUACUCAGAAAGUUUUCCUGAUCACGUAGAACCAAAGGUCCUAUUGUGGUUAAAAUGAUGGCGUUUGUAGAGGAGCAUUGUAUAUUUCACUUCUUCACGUCCAGUCUGAAGAUUGCAUUAUGUGUAACUGGAGAGAUGAUAUCAUAAAGAAAAUGACUGCAGGAGUCAGGAGUAGUAAAGCUGCUAGUCUAUGCUUAUGAUGUUAAUGUUUUGAAUUAACAAACUGUUAAUGAAUUCACAACAUGAUAUCCUAUUUAUUGUGCUUUAACUCUGGAAAGCUCCCUUUUAUGCAUCUUUGGUUCAAGUAAGGGCUAAGCACUUGUAGCUUUUAUGGGUUUCAUUAAGAGUCAGAAAUGCUCAGAGCUUCUGAAACUGAGGUCAAAUGAUCUUCUCUCUGGCAUUUAGUUGCAUAUGGUGCGGGUACCUCCAUCUUAUCUCCUUAUUUCAACUUCAGUUGCAGUUAGCUGGAGAAUAGUACGUACUUAGAGGUGUGAUUAAAUUUAUCACAAUGAAAGGCAUCUGAAAUACUCUUGUGUAAGUGCCCACUUCUGUUCACAGACUGUAAAGUCUGGAUGAAGCAGUUAAAAAGUUAACCAAGAUUCUUCUGUGUGUGUGCCUUGAGCUGAGUAACUGAAAUCAGGGAGUUGUUCUAGAAAUGUUAGACUUGGCUUUUCUGGUUCUGUCUGUGAAAUGGAGGCACUACUUUGUUUUGUACACUGUGAGAAAAUCGCAGAAUUGCAGAAACAGUUUGGGCUGGAAAAGACUUUAAAGACCUUCCAGUUACAACCCACCUCCCACUAGACCAGGUCACCCAAAGCCUCAUCUAGUCUGGCUUUGAACACCUCCAGGGAUGAGGCAUCCACAGCUUCCCUAAGCAUCCUAUGCCAGUGCCUCUCAACCCUCUGAGUAAAUAUUUUUUUCCUAACAUCUUAUUUAAAUCUGCCCUUUUAUUUUAAAGCCAUUACCCCUUGUCCUAUCACUGUACUCUCUGUUAAAAGUAUCCCUCUACAGUUUCUUGUAGAACUACUUCAGGUACUGGAAGGAUGCAAGGAGGUCUCCCUAAGGCCUUCUCUUCUCCUGUCUGAACAAGCCCAGCCCCCUCACUUCACAGGAGAGGUGCUCCUGCCCUCUGAGCAUCUUCGUGGUCUCCUUUGGCCACUCUCCAACAGCUCCAUGCUGGGGGUCCUAGGGCAAGAUGCAGCACUGUAAGUGGAGCCUCAUGAGAGCAUAGUAGAGGGAAUCGCUUCCCUCUCCCUGCUAGCCACACUUCUUUUGGUGCAGCCCAGGAUACAGUUGGCUUUCUGGGCUGCAAGCACACACUGUCAGCUAAUAUCAAGCUUUUAAUCCACCAGUAUCCCUAGGUGCUUCUCUACAGGGCUAUUCUCAAUCCAUUGUUUCCCAGCCUGUAUUUGUGCUUGUGAUUGUCCCUACCCAGGAGCAGGACCUUGCACUUAGCCUUGCUGAACCUCAUAAGGCUCUCACAGGCCCACUGCAAGCCUACCGAGGUCUGUCUCGAUGGCAUUCCUUCCCUCCAUCAUCUCAAUUGCACCACUCAGCUUGCUGUCGUCUGCAGGCAUGCCGAGGGUGCACUCAGUUCCCCUGUUCAUGUCACCAACAAAGCUGCUAAACAGUACUGGUAAGAUAGACUUCUCUUAAUUAGUACACUGUGUAUAAGGGUAAGAGUUCUUGUUAACUCCUAGAUGGUUUGCAUUUACAUUUUGUGAGCUCUUUCUACUUUUACACGUAGUAUGAGUAAACAUUAGCACUGAAUGAUUGUGUCAGUUUGUCUCAGCAUGAGUACCAUACACUAUUGCUAAAUUUGGCUUUAUAUGAAUUAUUUGUCUCUCUUAAAUAAUUAGUACUUCUAAUCUACUAGAUCUGGUCCUUAGGGUUUUGGUGGACAUUAAUUUGUACAUUAAAAGACUGAUUUUAAGAUAACGUUAUUGGUUUGGAAAAGUUAUACAAACCAAUAUUUGCUUAGCAGAGCCCAAGCACAGAACAAACUGAAUGAAACAGAAUGGCUUCUGUGGCAGGAGUGAGGUGAUGGAGAAGGAAACAACUAUCCUUUAUCACAUGUACUCAGAACUGUAGCUGAAGUCAAAUAACGACAUGUAAAGAGAUACUAGCACGCUAUGCCUAGCUCUCCUGGGACUGGAAGGCAAUUGUUUCAUAAAUCUACUGGUACCAUAUUUAGCCUUAUUCUAAAAUCUUUUUCAAAUGUCUGCAAGGAAAUCUUCAGAUGUUUGAAGAAUUUUGUCCUCUGAUGAGGAGAUUCUUAAGAAAAUGAGUAGGCUUUAAAAUUAAGCAAAGAUUGUUAAGAGAACCUUUGAUAAGGAAUUUUAAGAAUCUGAGAGAAAGCACUUUAAUAAUACUGUUAGAGUAAUUUUCAUCAGUCUUACUACACCCAUGUGCAGUAUUUCUACUCUGUAAACUGGAGCAUAUUUAUUUAAAUGAUUUGCCAAAUAUCUUAUCAUGGGUAAGUGGCAAGCUGCAAAUGGAACCCAGGAGUCCUAAUUUGAUUUCUCGUUGAAUUCAAAGACAGUAUUCAAAGCCUCUGAAAGAAAAACACUCAAGAAUUCAACAGUAACACUGCGUGAGGAGUCUCCCAUUUCAAUAAAUGUGUGGUUAUGAUAUGCCAGUACUUCACUGACCAAGGUCCCUGAGGUUGCUUUCAAUCCAAACCCAUGUCUCCUUUGUGGGUGCACAUUGCACUACCAGAUCUUUCAGUGCUCUGAACCAAAAGUCUUGUUCUUAAUGGACAUACUGGGGAAAAUACAGCCAUCUAAAAACACCACCAUUGCCAGUGAAAAAAGCAAGUAUGGGUGAAAUAAAAUCUGUAGAUUCAUAUGAAGCAAGCUGCAGCUUGAAUGCUUCUAUCAGUGCUGGGUUUGUUUUGUUUUGUUUUGUUUUGUUUUAGAGAAGUGAAGAUCAGACAGCAGAGGAUAUUAUUUAUCUUAAAACUCUGUUCUAUCUAUUUGCCAUCUCUGUGAGAUCUUGAAUAAAUGUAGAUAAGUCUCAGUAUUUUUAAAUUUGUAUUUUGAAUUUGACAGCACACUGGCUGAGCUUUACAGAGAGGUAUUUCAGUGAGAGGUUUUUGAGAGAAGGCUCUUCCAGUCAGCUUGUCUUCCCAGUAUUUUUUGCAGUACGUGACGACAAAAGGUGAGAGCAAGAGCAAACAAUAACCAUCUUAGGAAAUCUUGGUAAACAUUUGAAAUCAGUAGGUUAAGUUGGCUGGUGUAAAAGUGUUGUGUAGAUCUAGUCCAUAAAAUCCAAUCUCAUAAUCUUGAAAGGAAAAUUCAAGAGUCAGGGAAAAUGCAGUUCAACUUGAUUUGCACAGUCAGGACUUUUGUUUGUGAACUUCUGUCAGGACUGAUCUCAGUAUUUAUAUAAAAUAUAAAACUGAUGUUCUUCCUUAGAAUUCCAGUUUCUGCCAGAGUCAGAAGAAAUAUUGUGUGUUACAGCCAGUUUACUUUGCAGAGAUAGAGUAUGAAUUUCCUCAGCCAAGACAUGGAGAGCAUAAAGAGGAAUUCUGCGAGCAGUUUCUCAUUAAUAUCUAAUUUUGUGUUUGUUUGGCCAGAAACAGAAGGAAUUUGAUUUUCUUACAUUUGUGCUGAAAAUAAGAAGGUCUGAAGAAUAGAUGGAGAGGUACAGCUUAAUACACAUGCACUAGCUGUCUGUACAGUAAGUACGCAGUGCUUUUGCUUAAACAUGGGUAUUUGGUACAACUUGAUACGCCUUCUGACCUCUUGCUGCUUUUCCCAGAAGCCAGGUAUCUCAGAAGUGGCCGGUCAUAUUUGCUAGCUGUGUCCAAAUAUGUUGAAGCUGUAAGGCUUUUGCAGUGGAACUUGAUAACUACGUUUAAGCAAAUGAUUUGAGCUCUAAAAAUAAAACUUUGCACAUUUGUAACCACCUCUGGCACAUAACUUAGUGAUGAUAAUGCUACCAUGGUUCAGGAGGAAUCCUUUUUCUAGCAGUUAUUAGAGGUGAGCAUACAGAUGAUAGAUGUAGACCAGAUGAUUUCAUUAAUGAUUACUUGAUUACACUGGUGAUCCUCUGGAAUUUUAGGUCAGCAUAUAGGCUGGGAUUUUUACCUAUAAAUAACCAUUCUGUGUGCAAUAUAUGCAGUGUGUGGGAUGGACAGUUAAGAAUAAUUAGUGUACAGUUUUAACUUAGCUGACACACUUAUGCUGAGUGAAUGAAUAUGACUUGAGUUCUCAGAUUGCCAUGCAUUCAUGCUUACUAUUAGUAGAAAAAAAAAUCUGUAAGUUAAAUUGUUGCAUUGUAACUUCUGUGUAACAGAUGUUUUUAAAAAGUGAGAAUUCAAGCCCAUGUUAUUGAAGUCUGUGCAAGUUAAGAAGAUGUAUUAAAUAUCUGCAGUUCAUUAAAUUCUCUAGCAUAAAGAAAAAAUACAUAUUAUCUGAAGUUACUCAAAGGAUUAUACUAUAUAUUUUAAAAUUCUAGGUAAUACGUAAUGCAUAUUGAUCUUGUCAUAAUUUUACAGGUGUCAUUAGUGGCAUUGUUUCUUUUUAGCUGAUAAUGCAAGGCUAUAUAUCAUGUCAGAUCAGUAAUUAUAUGAAGCCAUCAGUUUGGUUUUCUGAGCCCUUUUUUUAUUUUUGAAGAUACAAUCCUUAGUAGAAGCAAUGCUGUGAAGUAUGAAUCUUUUUCUUCUAUUUCCUGCAGUAGUACUCUUCUACAGCUAUUUUCUAUCAUGAAAAUAAGCAUAAUGACUUUCAGAAACUUUCUCCUCUGCCCUUAUUCCAGCAAACCUCCC